UUAAGUCUCUAUUUUUGUAUUGUAAUAGGCUACGUUUUAAUAAACUAUAUGUAAAUAUAGUGCUUAGGCGGAGCUUACUAACACACAAAUUAAAGAUUAAAUUAGUAUUGAAUGAAACUUUGUUUAUAUAUCGAUAAUGACGAUAUAUAUAUUAUGUCUUGACCAAUUACGUGCCAGCAGUCGCGGUAAUACGUAAGAGACUAGUGUUAUUCAUCUUAAUUAGGUUUAAAGGGUACUCAAACGGUCUGUUUUGCACAAAAGACUAGAGUUAUAUAGAAGAAGGUAGUACCUUAAGUGUAGAGAUAAAAUUUUGUUAUACUGGAGGGACUUAGAAAAGGCGUAGGCAACCUUCUAAGUAAUAACUGACGUUGAAGGACGAAGGCAUAGGUCACGAACAGGACUAGUAACCCAAGUAGUCUUUGCAGUCAAUGAUGAAUGCCAUAGGUUAGAUAAAAAUUUAGUCUAUAAAUGAAAAUGUAAGCAUUUCACCUCAAGAGUAAUGUGGCAACGCAGGAACUGAAAU
This 523-nucleotide ribosomal RNA is filed under the name Beauveria bassiana. Its description in RNAcentral is "SSU rRNA". It matches the Rfam family "Bacterial small subunit ribosomal RNA", at positions 401 to 906 of the family's 1533-position model. The record is from RNAcentral. Lineage: Eukaryota; Fungi; Ascomycota; Sordariomycetes; Hypocreales; Cordycipitaceae.